CCCGUGCGAGAGAAUUAAACUUCAUCAUGCUGUUAAGGAACGAAGGCCCAUCGGAAUAAGAAGAUAGCCCAACAGGGCAGCCCAGGUGGGGCGCCUAGGGUUGGGCGCGCGUGACCCCUUCGGACUCCAGGGGCUGCGCCCCCUUUAUUUAGUCCGAGUCCUUUUUGUUUACGACUUGAGUUUUGUUUUACAUCUAGCUUUAGCUACUCUUGAACACGCGCA
RNAcentral lists this long non-coding RNA (222 nucleotides) under Setaria italica (foxtail millet). RNAcentral's name for it is "long non-coding RNA (SITA_LNC004464)". Lineage: Eukaryota; Viridiplantae; Streptophyta; Magnoliopsida; Poales; Poaceae. The record is from RNAcentral.